This is a long non-coding RNA of Mus musculus (house mouse), 858 nucleotides long. RefSeq annotates it as predicted gene 28821. NCBI's taxonomy places the organism in Eukaryota, Metazoa, Chordata, Mammalia, Rodentia, Muridae. The record is from RefSeq and is a predicted model, not a curated record. The transcript is spliced from 3 exons.
GAAAAAGGAAAUGAACCAGCUAGGAACCAAUGUCUUCCUGUCAAUUUAGGAGGAACCUCAGCCUCCUGAGAUCCUGCCUCAGUGCCAGGCACCCUCCGGAGUUCUACUGCUGUUGCCCAAGUGACUUGGACCAAGAAAAGCCUCUGAUGACAAAACAAGAUGGUCACAUUCACUUCAGUGCAGCCUCAGCAACACACAGCCUCAGGCAGUGCCCAUCAAUGGGACUGUUCUUCUGGGUCACAGGCAAGUCUCGAUCUCUUGACAGAUGUCUGCACCACCGACCAUAAGACAGAGGACCUCAGGAUCAUGUGGGACAGUGUCCUUGUCAGUUUUACGGUGUGACCACGCACAUGGAUGGGGCUUCCUUAGAAGAGUACAAGAGAGUACAAGCCAGAAGUUGACAGAACAAGAAUGGGGCAUGCGCUGAAGCAAAGGAAAGGGUCCAGACAUGAAGAUGAGGCAGGAAUGCCAGCAUGUCCACCACAUGUGGGAGCUCUCCAUAAUACCCCCUUGUAUAUAAGUGGGAACUGCUAUUUUGCUGCCUUUGGUCUGGGAUAGCCUUCUGCACAAGACCUGGCUUUCCUUGGGCUGAGGAUUGAGUCUCCUCUCCAGACCACUGAUCCCCAGGCUCAAGGACCCAGCCUUCCUGUUGCAGACCAGUUUUGGCCAGAGGACAGUGUUUGCCAGGCAGCAGAGACUCUGACCCUGACCAUGGAACAGAGGAAGGCAUACAACUGGGAUAGGAACCUUGGGCUCUCAUCAACCCCAUUCUCCAAGCCAAGUUAAUGAACAUAUGCUGUUAAAAUAAAAACCUUUGAGGUUAAGACCAUGGCUCAGGAUAUAAAGCACUUGCUACAC